UUGCCAAAUUUAGCAUUCAUAUUUGUUUGUGUGUGAAAAAUACAUAGAACAAAUAUGAAUGCUAACUUUGGUCA
Non-coding RNA from Pelobates cultripes (western spadefoot toad), 74 nucleotides. Lineage: Eukaryota; Metazoa; Chordata; Amphibia; Anura; Pelobatidae. The record is from the annotation of a GenBank genome assembly.